AACGCAGCGAAGGGCGAUAAGUAGUGUGAACUGCAGAAUUCAGUGAAUCAUCGAAUUUUUGAACGCACAUUGCGCCCCUUGGUAUCCCGAGGGGCAUGCCUGUUCGAGCGUCAUUUUAAUCUCUCAAGCUUUGCUUGGUAUUGAGCAUCAUUACUUUUCAUUAAGGGUAAUGUGCUUUAAAUAUAGGCAGCGGCAAGUACUAGUUCCAAGCGUAGCAGUUAAAAACAUUUCGCUUAGGAGUCUGGUAUAUUAUCAGCUAUACAAUCUUUACUAUUAUUUGACCUCGGAUCAGGUAGGGAUACCCGCUGAACUUAA
RNAcentral lists this ribosomal RNA (315 nucleotides) under uncultured fungus. Its description in RNAcentral is "eukaryotic LSU rRNA". The stretch from base 1 to 113 matches the Rfam family "5.8S ribosomal RNA", at positions 42 to 154 of the family's 154-position model. The record is from RNAcentral. Lineage: Eukaryota; Fungi.